Thunnus maccoyii (southern bluefin tuna) is the source of this 1105-nucleotide long non-coding RNA. RefSeq lists it as uncharacterized. The record is from RefSeq and is a predicted model, not a curated record. NCBI's taxonomy places the organism in Eukaryota, Metazoa, Chordata, Actinopteri, Scombriformes, Scombridae. The transcript is spliced from 2 exons.
UUCAGUUUGAAAGUUGAGUUACCUCUUAACAUCCCUCGGAUAGAGGAUGUUUUUCCUGCUUUGUCAAGACCGACCACAAGAAUGGUCACUUUCCUGCAUAGAAGUAAAUACAUUAUAGAAAUCAUGUCAGAUGACAUCAAUGCAAAUCAAUUUUAGACCAAAGGAAUAAGAAAGCCAAAAGAUCUCAUGGUGACUUGUCUAGAUUUCUCUGUCCGGAAAGAAAUCUUCCCCCAACAACAGCACAGACAUUUUACAAUCAAUCUAGGAGUAUGGAAGCAAAUCAUUGCCAUAAUAAUCUGAAUUAUAUCAGCAACUAAAUAACAAAUUUUGAAAUGAAAUCACUACAGAAUACUUAGUGUUGAAAUUUAAAUACAACUGAAUUUAUUGCACUGAAAUAUUUUACUUUUAAAACCAUCUUCCUGAAUGUAUGUGUUCUGAAUUUCACUUUGUAAAAUUCUUAAUAUGGUAUUUAGUUGCUGAUAUAAUUCAAAUUAUUAUAGCAAUGAUUUGCUUUCAUAUAGGAGUCUUCAUUGUACUCACUGUAGCCCAACUUUAGGCUGAUUAAACCUGUUUUUUUAAUCAUUUUGGAAGAUUUAACCUUCACUUAAUGCAGCAUGUGCAUCACUGACCACAUUCCUCUUUUAGACUCAUGCAUUUUUAAUCUGUGUUUUUCAAGAAAUCUCAUUAUCUUAUCAUCUACCUGAUUGGCUCCUGUAUUUUGGAGACCCAGGUGCAGCAGUUGCUCAUCAGGUUGAACAUUGUUGCGUGAGGUGAGCAAGGUGAGCACAGUGGCCACCAUUUUCUCUGGAACUGGUACCUGAAAACAGAUGGUCAAUCUUAGCAUGACUCACACACACACGGACACACAAGUACACAAAUAGGGCUGUUCAGCUGAGUCACUGGAGGUCAUGGCCAGGUCCAACACAAAGAUGCUGUGUGUCUGGCUCCUGUGAGCUUAGGAGACUUUUACAGAUGGUCACUCACUGGUAAUGUGUUCACUGCCAAGUGUCUCUCCCUCUUUACCUCCUCUGAAUCCAAAAUUAGCUUGUUGCUAACCUUCUUUAGCUCACUUCAAAUUCAAAGCUUUUUUUCUUUUUUUUUUUUG